CCGAGAAUAGCUCAGUUGGUAGUAGCGGCUGACUGUAGAGUGUGUUUCAUCAGUAAUCAGCAGGUCCCUGGUUCAAAUCCGGGUUCUCGGA
Non-coding RNA from Mycoemilia scoparia, 91 nucleotides. The record is from the annotation of a GenBank genome assembly. NCBI's taxonomy places the organism in Eukaryota, Fungi, Kickxellomycota, Kickxellomycetes, Kickxellales, Kickxellaceae.